UUUUGACCUCGGAUCAGGUAGGGAUACCCGCUGAACUUAAGCAUAUCAAUAAGCCGGAGGAAAACCUG
Molecule: ribosomal RNA, 68 nt
Filed under: Alternaria cucurbitae
Lineage: Eukaryota; Fungi; Ascomycota; Dothideomycetes; Pleosporales; Pleosporaceae
Description: partial 28S ribosomal RNA
Source: RNAcentral